GAUGCAUAGCCGACCUGAGAGGGUGAACGGCCACACUGGGACUGAGACACGGCCCAGACUCCUACGGGAGGCAGCAGUAGGGAAUCUUCCGCAAUGGACGAAAGUCUGACGGAGCAACGCCGCGUGAACGAUGAAGGUUUUCGGAUCGUAAAGUUCUGUUGUUGGGAAGAACAAACUUCGUUUGAAUAAGGCGGAGUCGUGACGGUACCUAACGAGAAAGCCACGGCUAACUAC
RNAcentral lists this ribosomal RNA (234 nucleotides) under uncultured bacterium. RNAcentral's name for it is "partial 16S ribosomal RNA". It matches the Rfam family "Bacterial small subunit ribosomal RNA", at positions 278 to 504 of the family's 1533-position model. The record is from RNAcentral.